UACAUAGGUCUCAAGCGUUGUUCGGAUUCAUUGGGCGUAAAGGGUGCGUAGGCGGCGCGGCAAGUCGGGUGUGAAAUCUCGGAGCUUAACUCCGAAACUGCAUUCGAUACUGCCGUGCUUGAGGACUGGAGAGGAGACUGGAAUUUACGGUGUAGCGGUGAAAUGCGUAGAUAUCGUAAGGAAGACCAGUGGCGAAGGCGGGUCUCUGGACAGUUCCUGACGCUGAGGCACGAAGGUCAGGGGAGCAAACGGG
Molecule: ribosomal RNA, 253 nt
Filed under: uncultured bacterium
Lineage: Bacteria
Description: partial 16S ribosomal RNA
Rfam family: Bacterial small subunit ribosomal RNA
Source: RNAcentral